This is a long non-coding RNA of Rhinopithecus bieti (black snub-nosed monkey), 5435 nucleotides long. The record is from Ensembl. NCBI's taxonomy places the organism in Eukaryota, Metazoa, Chordata, Mammalia, Primates, Cercopithecidae.
CUGUGGGCAGUGCCUGACCCAGGAGCCUGGCCUGCGAGUCAGCUUGGGCAAGGCGCUUCCCCGCCCUAGGCUGCCUCCGUUUCCUUUUCUGGAAGAUGAAAGAAGACAGAGGGUCUGCCUGUCCAGAGCAGGGCUGGGAUCAAAGAAUGGACUGGAAGGAACAAUGGCCACCACCGUCCACUCUGUGCUUCUCCCCAGCUGGGCUGAGUCUUCGCGAGGGUACCACUGUCGCCCCCAGGGGCUACUCCAUAGGAGAUGCACACAGCAGAUGGAGCUAAACAACACUUUCCUGACUGGGCUGUGUCUAUCAGAAGGCUUACUCCUGCUCCCACCCGCGGGCCCAGAACGGAGGAAACACAGCAGGAGGCUCAGCAGUCAGGCCUGAAAGCUGGGAAGACGGAGAGCAGGAAGCAGGGGCCAGGGAGAGGUGUGGAACAGAAAGGGGUGUGGACAACCGAUGGGAACAAGGCCGUGAGGUUGAAGCCAACGCAGGCACUAAGGAGGGCCUCAGGCACUUUGGAUGGCCGGCCCUUCUCACCUACUCUCAGUGUCUGGGCUCAGCUGGAAGACUGGGCUUCACAGACGCCAAGGGCAUGGGCUGGAUUCUCUGGAGGCCGCUCAUCUUCCCUUGGGUUUGUUGAGGGGAUUCAGAGGCAGGAAAUAGAAAUCUCACUUGCUAUUAAGCUUGACCUUAGUCUAAGACCCUUCAGAUCCAGGGGAAGACCCCGGGGACAUGGGCGGGGCCUCUCCCCAUCUUUCUGCUCUGCCGUGCUCCUUCCAAGAGCGGGAGGGAAGCUCUGUGGACUCAGGUACCCUGGACUGGCUGACGGAACCCUGGGAAGUCUGCCCAUCCUAAAAAUAUACCAGCUCUUCCUUAAGAUGAAAAUAUGUGUCCCAAAAGCCAAUCUCUAGAAUGUUCUAGAGAGCCAGUUGCUUCUGCAAUGACCACCCCCAGGGCCGUUGUCUGGGAGGGGUGUGAGUUGAUGACAGCACAGAUGGCACGGGAGCAGUGGAUGUCAGUCGGUUCUGGGUUCAAAUGCCGCCUCUGUUUCAGGAGGUUACAUUGCUCUCCAAGCCUCAUUCCUCGUGUUGGGUGGUGAUGGUGAUGGUGUGAUGAUAACAGUGAUCCCCAUCUCUUGGGGCAGAGAAGGAUUACAGGAGAAAAGGGGUACCCAAGUGCUUCCCACACAGCUGAACAAAUGCUGAUGGCCACGGUGACCAGGACAAUUGCAAUGGCCACUUACAGGUGACUUGGAGCUGGCCAGCCAUUGUAGCUGAGCAGGCUGCUCACCCAGGGAUGAGGAGGGGGUCCCACUCCCCGGGGGGAGACAUUGCUGGGUAUGAGUCAAGCUCCCCACCAUGCUGCCGCACCCUCACACCCACACCAUUCUCCUUAUUUGCAGGCAGGAACUUUGGGCUAAUUAUGGAAGUGAGACAAUGACCGGCUGGCCUGUUACGCACAGUGUAGGCUGUGGGAAAUGCGCAGGCACCUGCCAAGUGUCUCUCCUCCCCAAGGGUUCCAGGAGCUCCAGCUGCCAUCAUCCCUGGGAGGGCUCCAGGCACUUUGGAUGGCCCGCCCUCCUCACCUCCUCUCAGUGUGGAAGACUGGGCUUCACAGAGGCCAAGAGCACGGGCUGGAUUCUCUGGAGGCUGCUUGCCCUCCCUUGGGUUUGUUGUGGGGGUCUUGGGUUACCCUUUUUUAAGAGGGCCUAGCUCUUCCCUAGCCUAGCCCAGAAAACCAUGCCCUCCUCGCUCCUCUCCUGGUGAAUGUCUCCAGGGACACUGUCAGAAGCUUUCCCACUGGGUCCCAACUGAGCCUCGGAAUCCUUCUCAACACAGCCCCAGGCACCCUCUGUCGAUGAAUGAAGGCUGGUGUUUGAAAUGGAAGCCAUUUGCCAGUUCUGCCUUAAACCUCACGACUCUGAAAGCAUCCCAGGGAAAUGUUGCUCACGGUGUGAAGCAGCCUGCAGCUGUCCACAGGGGAUCCCCUGGCGAAGGAUGGAGGAGACUCUCCUUCGGAGAAGGCUGGAGCUGGAGUGGAGGCAGAAGGGAGUGGUGAGGAGGAAGGGCAAUAGCAUUUUCUUCCCCGAGACACCAGCGGGCUGCCUGGGCUCCUAACUCGCCUCUCUGCCCCCUCCCGCCUUCUUCAAUCCCCCACUUCCCUGCCGCAGAGUUGUGGGACCCUUUGAGGGAGGAGGCACAGCAGAGGCCGAAGGCCUACGUCGGUCCCAGCUCUGCCACCUGAGCUGCUGGGCUUAGCUUCUUGUUUAGCUUCUCUGUGCCUCUGUGCCUUAGUUUUCUAAUCUGUAGGAUGGGAAUAACAUUUCCUGCCUCCAAGGACCACUGUGAAGCAUAAAUUUACUAAGAUGCUAUUGAAUGGGUUAUAGGAAUCUUUAUUUAUUUAUUUAUUUAUUUUGAGACAGUCUUGUUCUGUCACCAGGCUGGAGUGCAAUGACGUGAUCUCUUCUCACUGCAACCUCCACCUCCCAGGUUCAAGGGAUUCUCCUGCCUCAGCCUCCCAAGUGAGUAGCUUGGACUACAGGCACGAGCCAUCACGCCCAGCUAAUUUUUGUAUUUUUAAUACAGACGGGGUUUCCCCAUGUUGGCCAGGAUGGUUUCGAUCUCUCGACCUCAUGAUCCACCUGCCUCGGCCUCCCAAAGUGCUGGGAUUAUAGGCAUGAGCCACCGCGCCCGGCCAGAACUCAUCUUUUAACAAUUCUGAAGCCAGAGAGCACCUGACAAUCAAUGGCAUGUUGCAGUUCAAUUGGGAGCAUUUGUUGUUCUCUCUUGGUGCCAUGCAAAAAUACAAGCAUCUCCCCAUUGGUGGCACCGCCAGUGGGUUGAAAUACAGCAUAUAAAGCCUUAGAGCCAGGCCUGGCACGUGGUAAGUGCCGAUAGUGCUAGUGGUUCAGAUUUCUAUCAUCCAGAUCUUGUUCUGUUGCUCCCCAACCCCACCCCAGGCCAAUGAUGCAAAUAAGAAUCACUGAAAACAGGCCAGGAGUGGUGGCUCGCGCCUGUAAUCCCAGCACUUUGGGAGGCCAAGGCGGGUGGAUUACCUGAGGUCAGGUGUUCAAAACCAGCCUGAUCAACGUGGUGAAAUACCGUCUCUACUGAAAAUAAAAAUAAAAAAAAUUAGCCAGGCAUGGUGGCACGUGCUUGUAGUCCCAGCUACUCGGGAGGCUGAAGCAGGAGGACAGCUUGAACCCGGGAGGCGGAGGUUGCAGUGAGCCGAGAUCUUGCCACUGCACUCCAGCCUAGGCGACAAGAGCUAAACUCUGUCUCAAAAAAUAAAAAUAAAUCACUGAAAUCAGAAGCCCCUGUUCUGGGGCAUUGCAAGAGUGUGCUCAAGGGGAGAGCACGGGGAUUAGAGUUCCGGCAGGUGGUGACGGUCCUCCGGCCAUGGUGUUCCCCAAGCCCUGCCACCCCCGGCCACCCUGGUCAGUUCUGUGUCCGUCUCUCCACCUUCCCCCACAAUACACCUAUGGUGCUUCCUGACAUGGGACCAUGCUCAAUGUUCUCAUCAUUUCUCUUAUAACAAUAACAUUUUUGUGCAAGAUGAUUUUUAUUGUUGGCAUAAUAUCCUGUCACAUAAACGGUCUAUGCUUUUCUUAACAGGCACCCAUAGCUAGUGGUUGAGGUUGAGGUAUCAUACAGAAGUACCUGGUCCCUAUGGCGCUGCACCCAUCACCUGUGAUUCUUCAGGAUAAAACCCUGAAGGGGAAUUGCCAGAGAGAAACCAUGGAUUGUCUAUCAAUGAUGAGGACCAAAGCCUAUCUUUGGUCCUCAUUAUUGAUUUACAAUCUAGGAAUCAUUAUCCCUACUGACUAGAAGCUCAGCUAAGCUACUUCUAUUCCACCACCUGGAAAUGACUCUUAGCCUCUGUGGCUUUGGCUUGCACCCACCUGGCUCCAGGUCUCCCAGAGGCCUGAGAAACCUUGGUGAAACCUGCAAAGUUCCCUUUGGCCUGGCUUAUCUGGGGCUCUGCACUGAUGCACCGUAAGAAGGAUGGAGCCUUGGGAGCGUCCCCUUCUGCUGCCGGCAAAGCCGGUUUCCCCUACGCUGGAUUUGUAUGUAUUUAUUCUGGUCCGUUAGCAAUGGCCAGUCUGGGCGUCUGCAUCUAGGGAAGCACCUUUGCAGCCCUGUCUGUGCCUUCAAUUUUCUCCAGAGUUUUCUCUCCCAGCCGGAGUAGCUGACCCGCCGGUCAGCAGGCUGUGAAUUCAUUAUGCACAGGCACCGCAGCCUCUGUCAAAGAACGCAGAAAAGCAAUUUUAGAAAAGAAAUCCUGGUUUCUCGCUUGGUGGCUUCAUUGUGGGAGAAAGUGACAAUUAUGAAUGACAUUAGAGCUGUGCUGGAGCACUGGGCCGGGACAGGAGGGGACUGGUCUCCGCUCUCCAAGCAGGCACUGGCUCUCUGGGUGCCAGGUCUGGGUUCGCUUCUCUCCCCAAUCCUACCGCCACAUGGAAGAGGGUCCCGCUCCACGUGCCACUCAGGACGCAAGGGCCGAAUGAUCCCAGCGUGUGCGGGCCUCACUGGAUCCCAGGAGGCCAGAAAAGCCCUAAGGGGCAUCCAGAAAUCCUUCCACUAGAACAGGGAACCUAGGAGGCCCCAAAAGAGGAGGGACCUGCCUGAGUUCACACAGCAAGGCAGGUGAGGGCCUGGGGCUGGGACCCUCCUCUCAGGGGCUAGGCUCUGUCCCCUUCACCAACUGUCCCUUAAUCCCUGCGGUUUGGAGGAGGGACAGCAUGUCAGGUCAGGUUCCCCAGGAACCGAGACGGGAAUUUGGAGCAGGAGGCCAUGGUAAGGAGGGGGCUCUUGGAGUCUGUUGUAGGUUGAGUGGUGAGCCCCAGAAAGAUCUAUCCCGGCCGGCUCAGUGGUUCACGCCUGUAAUCCCAACACUUUGGGAGGCCUAGGUGGGUGGAUUGCCUGAGGUCAGGAGUUCAAGACCAGCCUGGUCAACAUGGCAAAACCACGUUUCUACUAAAAAUAUAAAAAUUAGCCGGGCAUAGUGGCACAUGCCUGCAAUCCCAGCUACUCAGGAGACUGAGGCAGGAGAAUCGCUUGAACCCGGAAGGUGGAAAUUGCAGCGAGCCAAGAUCACACCAUUGCACUACAGCCUGGGCAACAAGAGUGAAACUCCGUCUCAAAAAAAAAGAAAAAGAAAAAAUCUAUCCAUAUUCUAACCCGUGGAAGUGGUGAAUGGAAAAAGGGGUCUUUGCAGAUGUAAUUGAAGUAAGGUUCUUAAGUGUCCUUAUAAGGGUCAGAAAGGGGAAGACAGAGAGCAGACGCCCACGUGACAAUGACAGAGACUAGAGGGAUGUGCCCACAAGCCAAGGAGCCACCAGCAGCUGGAAGAGGCAGGAAGGAUCCUCCCCUAGAGCCUUGGGCAGGAGCAAGUCCCUGCUGACACCUUGAUUUCAGACUUUGGCCUCCAGAAC